UUAAAAUAGGCUAAAUUAAGCUUUUGGGCUCAUACCUCAAAUAUAAAGACUCUCUUUUUUUAAA
Molecule: transfer RNA, 64 nt
Filed under: Leptidea morsei
Lineage: Eukaryota; Metazoa; Arthropoda; Insecta; Lepidoptera; Pieridae
Description: tRNA-Met
Source: RNAcentral